CUUACCAUGCAAGUCGAGCGGGGAAAGGUAGCUUGCUACCUGACCUAGCGGCGGACGGGUGAGUAAUGCUUAGGAAUCUGCCUAUUAGUGGGGGACAACAUCUCGAAAGGGAUGCUAAUACCGCAUACGUCCUACGGGAGAAAGCAGGGGACCUUCGGGCCUUGCGCUAAUAGAUGAGCCUAAGUCGGAUUAGCUAGUUGGUGGGGUAAAGGCCUACCAAGGCGACGAUCUGUAGCGGGUCUGAGAGGAUGAUCCGCCACACUGGGACUGAGACACGGCCCAGACUCCUACGGGAGGCAGCAGUGGGGAAUAUUGGACAAUGGGGGGAACCCUGAUCCAGCCAUGCCGCGUGUGUGAAGAAGGCCUUUUGGUUGUAAAGCACUUUAAGCGAGGAGGAGGCUACCGAGAUUAAUACUCUUGGAUAGUGGACGUUACUCGCAGAAUAAGCACCGGCUAACUCUGUGCCAGCAGCCGCGGUAAU
RNAcentral lists this ribosomal RNA (481 nucleotides) under uncultured bacterium. RNAcentral describes it as "bacterial SSU rRNA". It matches the Rfam family "Bacterial small subunit ribosomal RNA", at positions 48 to 524 of the family's 1533-position model. The record is from RNAcentral.